RNAcentral lists this long non-coding RNA (258 nucleotides) under Paramuricea clavata. The record is from RNAcentral. Lineage: Eukaryota; Metazoa; Cnidaria; Anthozoa; Malacalcyonacea; Plexauridae.
GCUCUACAGUACGUUACGAUAUGGUGAAGUGAAAAACAGGCUUAAGCUUUAAUGAGAAAGCUGUGGAUUGAGAGGGAUACAAAAUGAUACAACAUCGAAGUUCUGCUUGUAUUUUUCAGGUAGUUGUAUCCCUCUCAAUCCACAGUUGUCUUGUUAUCGUCGCUACCUUCACUGACACAGACCCUUCCAGAUUAAGUUUUGAUGUUUUAAAUACGGAAAUAGUUUUUUUUAGAAAAAGAAGACGUUUUUAGACGAUUG